Xiphophorus hellerii (green swordtail) is the source of this 335-nucleotide long non-coding RNA. RefSeq lists it as uncharacterized. The record is from RefSeq and is a predicted model, not a curated record. The transcript is spliced from 2 exons. Lineage: Eukaryota; Metazoa; Chordata; Actinopteri; Cyprinodontiformes; Poeciliidae.
ACGUGAGUGUGUAGCAACAUUGACCAGUAUCCAUUCAAUUCUAUUUUUUAAUUUUGGUGUGUGAUGUUUCUUCUUCGUCGUCUGGAUUUCUCUUGAAGGUUGGCAAACUUUAAGGUGCACUACCGAAACCUGUUGAUGUCAGGUGGGCUUUCUGGGCUUCACAGUGAGCUGUUCAGUGAUGAACCGGAAUCCGAACAGAUAACAGUUCUGGAUCCCAUGAAUUCAUUUCUGUGCUCCUUUCACAAUCAUUUUGUCUUCCUAUUUAAAGUCUGAAUUGUGACUGAUGUUUCUGUACACAUAAUGGACAGAAUUAAAACUCAGCCUGUUAAACUGAA